AUUGAACGCUGGCGGCAGGCCUAACACAUGCAAGUCGAGCGGAUGAAGGGAGCUUGCUCCUGGAUUCAGCGGCGGACGGGUGUGUAAUGCCUAGGAAUCUGCCUGGUAGUGGGGGAUAACGUCCGGAAACGGGCGCUAAUACCGCAUACGUCCUGCGGGAGAAAGUGGGGGAUCUUCGGACCUCACGCUCUCAGAUGAGCCUAGGUCGGAUUAGCUAGUUGGUGGGGUAAAGGCCUACCAAGGCGACGAUCCGUAACUGGUCUGAGAGGAUGAUCAGUCACACUGGAGCUGAGACACGGUCCAGACUCCUACGGGAGGCAGCAGUGGGGAAUAUUGGACAAUGGGCGAAAGCCUGAUCCAGCCAUGCCGCGUGUGUGAAGAAGGUCUUCGGAUUGGAAAGCACUUUAAGUUGGGAGGAAGGGCAGUAAGUUAAUACCUUGCUGUUUUGACGUUACCAACAGAAUAAGCACCGGCUAACUUCGUG
RNAcentral lists this ribosomal RNA (484 nucleotides) under uncultured bacterium. RNAcentral's name for it is "partial 16S ribosomal RNA". It matches the Rfam family "Bacterial small subunit ribosomal RNA", at positions 30 to 507 of the family's 1533-position model. The record is from RNAcentral.